ACGUAGGGUGCGAGCGUUAAUCGGAAUUACUGGGCGUAAAGCGUGCGCAGGCGGUUAUAUAAACCAGAUGUGAAAUCCCCGGGCUCAACCUGGGGACUGCAUUUGAGACUGUAUGACUAGAGUGUGGCAGAGGGGGGUGGAAUUCCACGUGUAGCAGUGGAAUGCGUAGAGAUGUGGAGUAACACAGAUGGCGUUGGCAGCCUCGUGGGUGAAUACUGACGCUCAUGCACUGAUGCGUGGGGAGCAAACAG
Molecule: ribosomal RNA, 251 nt
Filed under: uncultured prokaryote
Description: partial 16S rRNA
Rfam family: Bacterial small subunit ribosomal RNA
Source: RNAcentral